Molecule: ribosomal RNA, 496 nt
Filed under: uncultured bacterium
Lineage: Bacteria
Description: partial 16S ribosomal RNA
Rfam family: Bacterial small subunit ribosomal RNA
Source: RNAcentral
AUGAACGCUGGCGGCGUGCCUAAUACAUGCAAGUCGAGCGAACGGACGAGAAGCUUGCUUCUCUGAUGUUAGCGGCGGACGGGUGAGUAACACGUGGAUAACCUACCUAUAAGACUGGGAUAACUUCGGGAAACCGGAGCUAAUACCGGAUAAUAAUUUGAACCGCAUGGUUCAAAAGUGAAAGACGGUCUUGCUGUCACUUAUAGAUGGAUCCGCGCUGCAUUAGCUAGUUGGUAAGGUAACGGCUUACCAAGGCAACGAUGCAUAGCCGACCUGAGAGGGUGAUCGGCCACACUGGAACUGAGACACGGUCCAGACUCCUACGGGAGGCAGCAGUAGGGAAUCUUCCGCAAUGGGCGAAAGCCUGACGGAGCAACGCCGCGUGAGUGAUGAAGGUCUUCGGAUCGUAAAACUCUGUUAUUAGGGAAGAACAUAUGUGUAAGUAACUGUGCACAUCUUGACGGUACCUAAUCAGAAAGCCACGGCUAACUACGUG